GGUCCCCAUGGCUGCCACAGUGUCGACAGCAUCCAGGCAAGCUCAGGAGCCUUAUGUCAUGGAUGCCCCAACCAGAGACUGUGCGCAUCUGGAGCUGGGGCCACACUGGACCAGCCAUGGAGGAAAUCAGAGAUGAAGAUGAUGAGACACAGGAUCUUGGUGCUUGCCGUUUGGAAAAAGCACAUUCAGUGCCCACCUCACCCAUGGCCUGGCCGAGGAUGGAGACACACAGGUCGCUCUUAUGGACAUCGAUUUCUGUGGACCAUUGAUUCCCAAGAUUAUGGGCUUAGAUGGAGAGCAGGUUCACCAGAGUGUCUCCAGCUGGUCUCCAUUGUACGUGGAGGACAACCUGGGGGAUGAUGUCUAUGAGCUUCCUGCUUAGUAGCCCUGAUAGUGCUGUCAUCUGGAUGGGACCAAAGAAAAACGGUAUGAUCAAGCCAUUCCUCCGUGAUGUAGACUGGGGAGAUGUCAACUACCUCAUCAUAGACACUCCACCUGGAAUGUGCAAUGAACACCUCUCUGUGGUCCAGUAUCUGCCCAUGGCACACAAUGGUGAGGCGGUGAUCCUCAUCAUCGUUCAGGAGGUGGCCUUCCAGGAUGUCCGGAAAGAGAUCAGUUUCUGCCACAGGAUGAAGCUGCCCAUCAUCGGUGUGGUUGAGAACAUGAGCAGUUUCAUCUGCCCCAAGUGCAAGAAAGAGGCUCAGAUCUUCUCUCCCACGACUGGGGGUACAGAGGUCAUGUGCCAGGACCUGAAGAUCCCUCAUCUGGAGUCACAUGAUGAGAACCUCAUCUGUCUGACGUGGGACAGAAUCAAUUGCCACCUGUUAACCACAGAGCUGGUAGGCCAUGUGUCCAGCCAUACCUGGUUAGUGGGGGACAGGUGGUGUCACAGCCACCAGAUGCUCACAAGAUUUGAACUCACUUAUUAA
This is an RNA transcript of Mastomys coucha (southern multimammate mouse), 929 nucleotides long. It is a transcript of the gene named cytosolic Fe-S cluster assembly factor NUBP1 pseudogene, with no coding region annotated. The transcript has a single exon. The record is from RefSeq and is a predicted model, not a curated record. Lineage: Eukaryota; Metazoa; Chordata; Mammalia; Rodentia; Muridae.